RNAcentral lists this small RNA (2701 nucleotides) under Pongo abelii (Sumatran orangutan). RNAcentral describes it as "retained intron". The record is from RNAcentral. Lineage: Eukaryota; Metazoa; Chordata; Mammalia; Primates; Hominidae.
GCAGUUUGUAUGUAAUAGUCUCAACACUGCAUGCACGUCAUGCACUUUCCACGCACUUUACAAAGUACUCUGUCCAGAAUCUCACAUGGGCCUCGUAACAACCGAGACCCCUUCCAGCCAGAUUGGAGGCACCCAGAGUAGGGUCUGGGGUGAUGCAGGCUCUUGCUCAGGACUCUGGGAACCCUUUAAGGGCCUGCUUGAACUCAGGAGAAGUUGGUGGCUCAGCCAGCAGUCUCUGUCCCCAUUCUCUGUCAGCGGUGAUAUCACACCCUUGUGAUGUGACUCGUUUUUCUCUUUUUCCCCUGACUGGUUUUUGGUUUUUACUCUUCCAUUGUGAUUUAUCCCAAUUACAUGGAAGGAAUUUAGCUAAAUUAAAAUUAAAUUUGCAGUCAUGAAGCACGAAUUAAUUUUCUUUCUUUCUUUCUUUCUUUUUUUUUUGAGACAGGGUCUCACUCUGUUGCCCAGGCUGGAGUACAGUGGUGCGAUCUCAGCUCACUGCAACCUCCGCCUCCCGGGUUUAAGCUAUUCUCCUCCUUCAGCCUCCCAAGCAGCUGAGACUACAGGCACACGCCACCACGCCCAGCUUUUGUAUUUUUAGUAGAGAUGGGGUUUCACCAUGUUGGCCAGGCUGGUCUCAAACUCCUAACCUGAAGUGAUCGACCACUUGGGCUCCCAAAGCGUUGGGAUUACAGGCGUGAGCCACCACGCCUGGCCUCUUCUAUUGUUUUGCUUACCCAACUCCCCAACCUUUUUCUUCUUUCUGCUGAUAAUUAAUUAUGUAUUUUCAAGACAUAUCUGUUUUCAACUUCUAGAAUUUUGUUCAAAGUUGGGUUUUGCUAGUAUUUUUAGUUAAUUUUAUCUGAAAUACUGAUUUAAAAUCAAAACCUUUACUGUUUCAGCAAUUACACUGUAGUAUUUGAUGUGAGAGUGCCUUAUGUUUACUAGAAAUGUUUACAAAUGAAUUAAAUAUUGGAUUAUAUUUUCUGAUUAAGGCCAGAAAAUUUAUUUUAAAAACUUGCUUUCUUCUUCAGUGACAGAAAAUCUGGUUCUCUUGCACUAAUAUGUGAAUUUAUGGACAUGAAUAUUUAUGAGCUAAUACGAGGGAGAAGAUACCCAUUAUCAGAAAAAAAAAUUAUGCAUUAUAUGUACCAGUUAUGUAAGUCCCUGGAUCAUAUUCACAGAAAUGGAAUAUUUCACAGAGAUGUAAAACCAGAAAAUAUACUAAUAAAGGUUGUAAAAAAUGGUUUAUUUAAUAAAUGCCAUCAACAUAACUGACUGCACCUGGAAGAAAAUAAUAGAAAGCACCAUUUUCACACUUCAGACAAAAAUGAACCCUAUUCAGACGGCCGUUCAAACCUUCUAGAGGGAAAUGUGGCAGAGGCAAGAUUUGAGCUCAGGAUGUCCUGAAAUUAGCGGACUUUGGCUCCUGCCGGAGUGUCUAUUCCAAGCAGCCGUACACAGAAUACAUCUCCACCCGCUGGUACCGGGCCCCGGAGUGUCUCCUCACCGACGGGUUCUACACGUACAAGAUGGACCUGUGGAGCGCCGGCUGUGUGUUCUACGAGAUCGCCAGUCUGCAGCCCCUCUUUCCUGGAGUAAAUGAACUGGACCAAAUCUCAAAAAUCCACGAUGUUAUCGGCACACCUGCUCAGAAGACCCUCACCAAGUUCAAACAGUCGAGAGCUAUGAAUUUUGAUUUUCCUUUUAAAAAGGGAUCAGGAAUACCUCUACUGACAACCAAUUUGUCCCCACAAUGCCUCUCCCUCUUGCACGCAAUGGUGGCCUACGAUCCCGAUGAGAGAAUCGCCGCCCACCAGGCCCUGCAGCACCCCUACUUCCAAGAACAGAGGAAAACAGAGAAGCGGGCUCUGGGCAGCCACAGAAAAGCUGUCUUUCCGGAGCACCCUGUGGCACCGGAACCACUCAGUAACAGCUGCCAGAUUUCCAAGGAGGGCAGAAAGCAGAAACAGUCCCUAGAGCAAGAGGAGGACCAUCCCAAGAGACAAGGACCAGCCUAUGUCAUGGAACUGCCCAAACUAAAGCUUUCGGGAGUGGUCAAACUGUCGUCUUACUCCAGCCCCACGCUGCAGUCCGUGCUUGGAUCUGGAACAAAUGGAAGAGUGCCGGUGCUGAGACCCUUGAAGUGCAUCCCUGCGAGCAAGAAGACAGAUCCGCGGAAGGACCUUAAGCCUGCCCCGCAGCAGUGUCGCCUGCCCACCAUAGUGCGGAAAGGCGGAAGAUACUGAGCAGCACCGUCGUCUCGACUUCCGGAGGCAACACCAAACCCGAUCGGGCCAGGCCUGAGCGAUCUGCUUCUGAGACGCCACGGAGGGCUGGGGAUGCGCCUGCGUCCGUUUCGCGCUGGCCGGGGCUCUGGGUGCUGCCCUGCGCCCUGCCGCACUCGCGGCCCGCGCAGCUGCCUAGGAUGUUCUGGGCUAAUAUAUUUGUAAAACCACCGCAUUCUAGGGUUUUCUUUCAUUUUCGUUAAGAAUUUGGGGCAGGAAAUAUUUUGUAAUUUUGUAUAUGAAUCAAAACAAACGAGCAGGCAUUUCUGUGAUGCGUUGGGCGUGGUUGGAAGGUGGGUUCUGCGUGUCCCCUCCCAGCGCUGCUGGUCGGUCGUGGAGCGCCACCACGUCUUACCAGUGACGCAACUGACACCCCUGACUUUUAUUAAAGAAUAAGCUGUCGUUACAGUAUUGCA